UACAGAGGUCUCAAGCGUUGUUCGGAUUCAUUGGGCGUAAAGGGUGCGUAGGCGGCGCGGUAAGUCGGGUGUGAAAGCCCCGAGCUUAACUUGGGAAUUGCGCUUGUGACUGGCGUGCUGGAGUGUGGCAGAGGGAGGUGGAAUUCCACGUGUAGCAGUGAAAUGCGUAGAGAUGUGGAGGAACACCGAUGGCGAAGGCAGCCUCCUGGGCCAGCACUGACGCUCAUGCACGAAAGCGUGGGGAGCAAACAGG
This 253-nucleotide ribosomal RNA is filed under the name uncultured bacterium. RNAcentral's name for it is "partial 16S ribosomal RNA". It matches the Rfam family "Bacterial small subunit ribosomal RNA", at positions 524 to 776 of the family's 1533-position model. The record is from RNAcentral.